RNAcentral lists this long non-coding RNA (415 nucleotides) under Gallus gallus (chicken). The record is from RNAcentral. Lineage: Eukaryota; Metazoa; Chordata; Aves; Galliformes; Phasianidae.
GGGCUCUUAAUCUGAUUCACUGUAUCAUACAUAUUAACUCUUCGCUUGCAGAUCUCCAUAUUCUGAAAGCAGGAUUUCACGUGAUUACUGUGUGGGAAAUCCAGCAGAUGGGUCAUUGUAACAAACGGAUGGUUCAAAGUCUUCAGCGGAGUAAUUCUCUUAUCUGCAUCAAUAGUCAACAUUUUCUUCAACAAAUCAAUAUACUCCCUUCGGUCAGCCUUCUCUGCCAACAUGUCGGUCCCUUCUAAGUCUGUAGACAUAUUCACCUGCGCCAUAUCAUCCAAACAGUUGAAUAUAUAUUUCCUUGCUUCUUUUGAUUUUAUCCCUGUCUCCAACUCAUGCUCUUCUGGGGUCUUUAGCCUCCACAGUGGGUAUCCCAAAUUUGGAUCUCUGUUAAAAAACCUGCUUGUUUUCG